UCCUGGGUUAUGUGACGACUGUGCGAAGUGAAAGCUAUGAUGCAGCAGAUUGAGGGAGGGUUGAAUUCCUGAGGUGUUUAAGUGGAAGUGUGCAGCCCAGAUGUGCUCGCACUGGGUAUGUGAUGCGUUUAGGCGACCGUGUGCGCGCGCAGGCUACCGUACUUUACGCACGCCGUGAGCAGGAUAUGGGAGCGGAAUGAUCUGCGGCUCGGACCCGAUCUGGGACUUGGACAUGAUGAGAACAUGUGAAGCGGAAUUGCAUGGCCUUGGUAGACAUCGCGCCGAUGAGCUUCCUUCUUCUCUUCCUCAUUUUGAUCUCAGGAUUUGGGAAUAAACCCAAAAAGCAUAAAUCAAAGUACACACAACCAUGAUCAUGGGGAAGACUGCUGACUUGACAGUUGUCCAGAAGACGAUCAUCGACACCCUCCACAAGGAAGAGAACCUUGAGGUGUAUCUAUGUUGUUUGGGGUGUUGGCAGUAAUCUGGAGUGCCAUAUAAACCUCGAGGGCUGGAAUUCUUUCUUACUUCUGAGCUGUCUGAGUGUAUUUGCGACUCAUGUGGAUGCUCACGGUGAACAGAGUCUGAGAGAGCUACAGGAGGUGCUCAGAAACAUGACUCCAUUGUUUAACGUAUCGAAGGCGUCCUUGUAUGCCCCUUUGCCAAAUUUAACUGGAUGCACUAAAAAGUUAAUGUACUGCUACCUGCUGGAGUUGAAUGUUAUACUACACGAGGAAGAGGGCGAUGAGAACGACUUAUCUGUUAUUCACAGCCUUAAAAAAGAGUACAGCUCCUCCAACAGCUGCAGCGAGUGUUUAGCGUGUGAAGAGCACCCACUUGUCAACUCCACAAUGUUCUCUGAAAGGAUACAAGAAUUUGUUCAGAAACUGUUUUCAGUACUGGGCAAUUCAGACUUUAAGGACUGUGAUUAGUACACUAAAUGUACACCAUAGCCAUGAUGUAAGUAAGCUGUUUUUUUUUUUUGCAUGUAGUCAAACAGACUGAAACUUUAUUAAUGUCACUAACUGUAAUGCUAUGUCAAUAUUUAUUAUUAACACAGAGACUCACAUUAUAUAAAGUUGUUCUUAUGCUUAGGUGCUAAUUUGAUCUAUUAUCUGUUUUUUUUCUACAAAUGAUUCUAUCUAUUUUUGUACAACUGGGGUUUCUUUUCUUUCUUUCAGUUUGAUGUAGCAUAUAAAUAGCUGUGAUACAAUUUGAAUUCCUGAACAUAUACUAAGCUAAGGGAUGGGAUAAGACCAUUGUUCCCAUUGCAAAUUCCUGUCAGCAGUGUUUAAUCCAGUCAUAUCUGUGUUUAUGAAAAUACUCCAACUCUGUUGCCUAAUCUAUAAAACAGAUGAUGUAAGAAUUUUACCUAGCUGUCCUGGACGCUGUGUUUUGCCCACUCGUUAAUCCUAUUUGCUAUGAAGUUGGGUGUGGGUUUGAAACUGCCUCGAAAAAUAUCCAAGGUGGACUAACCUCAAGUCAGACUGUUUUUCUUAGAAAAAUAUCCGAGUCAUUCUGGACAGUUUUAUACAGAAACCAAUCCUAGCUCUUCCAUAUUACUUGUACAUACAUACACUCGAGUGUUUCACUGUUGGGAUGAAAAGCAACACCAUCAUCAACACCUUCAUGUCUGAAAAGAAUGGGAUGCUCCCUGCAGCUGAGAAGAACCCUUGGAAUAUUGACAAUCGAUGGCAAAAGAGUGUGAGAUUGACUCACGGAGCAGCAGUUUUAUAGUCACUGUACCAGUCAGUCAUGGUGGAGCAGGACCUCUGGAAUUUUCACAUAAAGCUGUCUGUUUAUUGGUCAAUCUACAUGUGUGUCUUCAUAUAUGGUCAUGAGUUAUAGUUUCUGAAAGAAUACAGGUGGUGGAACUAAGGUUCUUCAGCAGGGUUGCUGGGUUUACUUUCCAUGAUAAGGUAGGGUGAAGGGUUUUGCAGUUUGGGAGAACUUCAGAAUCAAGAAGAGCCAAUUGAUUUGGUUUGGGCCAAUCACCUGGGGACCUGCUGGAAAGAUCAUAUAUAUCAGAUAGCGCAAAGUUGGCCUGGGGCAUCCAGGGACAGAUAAAUCUGGCAUGACCUUCUCAUGCUUUUGUGACCAUGAUUUGAGUUGGUGCAUCCACUUCAACCUGACCUUCACAACAUCAAAUAAACGGAAAUAUUUACUUCUUGAUAAAUGUUAUUGAGUGUAAUCUCCAGCAGAAUGUACUCAUACUAUACUGAAUGAUGAAUGAUGAGUAUCUUCACUAUUUCUUGUGUGUCCUGAAAUCCUAGAUGUGUCCAGAAACAUUUUAGAAUUUGAAAUGUUUUCUCUGUCAUGCCAAGGAGUUUAUUAUGAUACUCCAAACAAUUCCAAACCAGGCCUGGGUGACUGAUUUUGAAACGUGUCCUACUGGUGUCCAAGUUCAGGUCAAGGAACCCUGGGCUAGGAACGAAGAGCUUAUGGAAUGAAGCUCGCGAGAUUAGAGUUCAUCAACCCUCCUUUGAUUGAAUGACUGGUGAAUUGCAAUUCCUCACUGCACACCCUGGAUUGCUGCUCAUACACAAGGAUUUCAGAAGAACACAACCCGAAUGAUAUUGUCAUCAUAAUUUUUCUCCAUUUGUGAUGGCAACCUGACCAAAAGACAGUGAGUGAGAUAUAAUAAACAAUUUGUGUACAGUACGCCAGUUUUGUAUAUGGUCUGCAAAUUUGUGUGAUUUUUUAAAAAUAUUUAUUCUAUUACAUAUAUCAUAUCAUUGUACUAAAAGGUGUGUGCACGUUGUUCUAUGUCUUUACAGAGCUACAUGUUUGGUUCUUACUCUGUUUGGAGUCUAAUGAAUCUAAUAAAGCAGUUAUUCACACA
Neoarius graeffei (lesser salmon catfish) is the source of this 2839-nucleotide RNA transcript. It is a transcript of the gene named interleukin 15, with no coding region annotated. NCBI's taxonomy places the organism in Eukaryota, Metazoa, Chordata, Actinopteri, Siluriformes, Ariidae. The transcript is spliced from 7 exons. The record is from RefSeq and is a predicted model, not a curated record.